RNAcentral lists this ribosomal RNA (340 nucleotides) under Septoglomus viscosum. RNAcentral's name for it is "SSU rRNA". It matches the Rfam family "Eukaryotic small subunit ribosomal RNA", at positions 548 to 889 of the family's 1831-position model. Lineage: Eukaryota; Fungi; Glomeromycota; Glomeromycetes; Glomerales; Glomeraceae. The record is from RNAcentral.
UUGGAGGGCAAGUCUGGUGCCAGCAGCCGCGGUAAUUCCAGCUCCAAUAGCGUAUAUUAAAGUUGUUGCAGUUAAAAAGCUCGUAGUUGAACUUCGGGAUCAAUGGGUCGGUCGUGCCCUCGGUACGUACUGGUUUUUAUUGGUUCUCACCUUCUAAUGAACCAUAAUGUCAUUCAUUUGAUGUUAUGGGGAAUUAGGACUGUUACCUUAGAAAAAAUUAGAGUGUUUAAAGCAGGCUAACGCUUGAAUACAUUAGCAUGGAAUAAUGAAAUAGGACAUCGCAUUCUAUUUUGUUGGUUUCUAGGAUCGAUGUAAUGAUUAAUAGGGAUAGGUUGGGGGC